This is a non-coding RNA of Cinara cedri, 534 nucleotides long. NCBI's taxonomy places the organism in Eukaryota, Metazoa, Arthropoda, Insecta, Hemiptera, Aphididae. The record is from the annotation of a GenBank genome assembly.
ACCAGUCGAAAUAGUCUUCUUUAUAGCUCGAUUAAUAAUAUACACAAAUCGAUUAAAAAAUAUUUUAUUUCACCAAACGAUAGGUUGUGAAGUCUACGUUCAAACAGUGUACUCCGCUAAGGAUUUUUCCGGACGGAACAUACCUUAUAAACUGGUGAUAAACGGUAGGUAGUAACGCACAGCAUAUACAGAAUGUAACUGGACUAUUUUAUAUUUUUACAUAUAAAUACAAUGUAAUAACCUAACCUAACUACUAUAUCUAUAUACGAUUUUAGCGAGGCUUUUUGAAAAGAAACACAUAUGUAACAAAGUGGCCAAAGUUGAAGUAAAAAAUAUCGAAUAUCCUAAUCAAAAGGAUUCUUUUAAUUUCGGAGUUUAUUGUUUAUAUAAUACUGAAUGCUUGAUGAGAAGCCGAAAAAAUAUUAUUUUUGAUACUAAUUUCGAUCCAAUGGUGUCUAGAAUAAAACUGAAAAAAGAUGCUUUUGGAAAGCUCUGAUUUUAUGAGAGAUAUUUGUUUAUACUGUGGAAAUUCAG